CAAAGACUCUCGGCAACGGAUAUCUCGGCUCUUGCAUCGAUGAAGAACGUAGCGAAAUGCGAUACUUGGUGUGAAUUGCAGAAUCCCGUGAACCAUCGAGUCUUUGAACGCAAGUUGCGCCCGAAGCCAUUAGGCCGAGGGCACGCCUGCCUGGGUGUUGCAC
This 163-nucleotide ribosomal RNA is filed under the name Lupinus mariae-josephae. RNAcentral's name for it is "5.8S ribosomal RNA". It matches the Rfam family "5.8S ribosomal RNA". Rfam says of the family: 5.8S ribosomal RNA (5.8S rRNA) is a component of the large subunit of the eukaryotic ribosome. It is transcribed by RNA polymerase I as part of the 45S precursor that also contains 18S and 28S rRNA. The record is from RNAcentral. Lineage: Eukaryota; Viridiplantae; Streptophyta; Magnoliopsida; Fabales; Fabaceae.